GAUGAACGCUGGCGGCGUGCCUAAUACAUGCAAGUCGAGCGAACAGACGAGGAGCUUGCUCCUUUGACGUUAGCGGCGGACGGGUGAGUAACACGUGGGUAACCUACCUAUAAGACUGGGAUAACUUCGGGAAACCGGAGCUAAUACCGGAUAAUAUUUCGAACCGCAUGGUUCGAUAGUGAAAGAUGGCUUUGCUAUCACUUAUAGAUGGACCUGCGCCGUAUUAGCUAGUCGGUAAGGUAACGGCUUACCAAGGCAACGAUACGUAGCCGACCUGAGAGGGUGAUCGGCCACACUGGAACUGAGACACGGUCCAGACUCCUACGGGAGGCAGCAGUAGGGAAUCUUCCGCAAUGGGCGAAAGCCUGACGGAGCAACGCCGCGUGAGUGAUGAAGGUCUUCGGAUCGUAAAACUCUGUUAUUAGGGAAGAACAAACGUGUAAGUAACUGUGCACGUCUUGGCGGUACCUAAUCAGAAAGCCACGGCUAACUACGUG
Molecule: ribosomal RNA, 497 nt
Filed under: uncultured bacterium
Lineage: Bacteria
Description: partial 16S ribosomal RNA
Rfam family: Bacterial small subunit ribosomal RNA
Source: RNAcentral